Molecule: long non-coding RNA, 585 nt
Organism: Pelmatolapia mariae (spotted tilapia)
Lineage: Eukaryota; Metazoa; Chordata; Actinopteri; Cichliformes; Cichlidae
Exons: 3
Source: RefSeq, a predicted model, not a curated record
CAGCAGUGAACACCGCCAGCACAGAACAGUUGGCGUGCUUUAGAGAAUAUAAGCAGCUGCAGCAAGGAAAGCAAUGGUGGAAAGCAACAAAGCCUGCUUUCAUUAAACCUGGAUAUUAUAAAUCUGCACCAGCCUCAGGAAAUCCAUACACAUGGGACUCAGUCAGCAGGAGUGCCAACUCUUUUCCCCUGGAGAAGGCUUUGUGUAGACCGAAGAGUGGUGUUGAGGCCCCCUCUCAUGUGAGCCAAAGUAAUGAGGUAGCAGGUUAUUGAAGACUCUCCAUUGGGUCACUUUCAACUCCUUUCAACUACCUCAAUCCUCAUGUGCAUCAUGGGUUUAAUACUGUUGGACGCAGAUAUCUCUAUGGUCCUCCAUCUGAACUAUCUGGAUAUGUGGAUAAGGGCUUCCCAUCUUGUGCUCAGAUUUGUCAUGAUUGGCAGUCAGAGUCCAAUUCCCUGGAAAAUGAGGAACUCUGCAAGACAUCUAACACUAAGCAGAUCAGGCCCCAGAUGAAAUAAUCCAGAAACAAGAAGAGCUUGCUUGCGAUUGGAGCAUCAAGAAGAAAAAUUUACUGUGCGUUUUCCU